GUAUAAAAAAAGGUCGUACCCAGUGCACAAGGCUCCCGCUUUACGCAGGGUCUGGGAGAGGUGAAUGUCGGCUAGCCUUACCCCCAUUUAUGGAAAGGCUGCUCCCAAGUCUCGAACCCGAGACCUACCGCCCAUGGGCUACAUAAUAUCCUUAAUUUAACCCAAUUUUAAAUGACUCAAACCUUUCCUCCAUACAUCUUAAUAAAUUAAGUUUCUAUUAAUUCUGGUGUAUUUUGAUUUUCCCUCUCUUUGUUUGAUUUCAGCUCUAGUAGAACAUGCUUUGUUAUAUUAGAUACGUCUGCUCAAAAGGAGGCGGCUAGAGCCUAUAAACGCUUAUAAAGAAGAUAUUCCAUAAAGUUUCCAUGUUGAGUUAUGAUCAAGGCAGAGUUAGAGUCAUAUCAGGAUCACUACAGGUUCUGGGAAAGGAUUGCCAAAAGAAAGCAUGCAUAACUUCUCCUACAAUUACCUAAGCAUCCUAUUAAUAUAUGUGACAUGUUACAGAUACUACAAUCUGGGUGCCCGAAAAUAUGUUAUUGCUGCAGAAAUAAUUUAUGUAAGCCAGUUGCAGCUACAAUUUGAGGAAAUAUACAAAGCCUAAUAAAAAAGUUCGUAACUUCAAAUUAUCUUAUCAUACAAUUUGGUGGAGCAAAAACUAAAACUACCAACAUCAAUAUGCAAUGUUAGUCAGAAAACAACUAUUUCAUAUUCAUAACCAUUAACCUCUAAUGCUCUGAGCAAUCUUAACGUUAGCCUGCAAAUUAUCCGACCCCUACCCUGCGGAGGUAUUAUAUGAUUAAUUUGUCAACCAAAUAGAGAUCACUUCACCUGACAUCAACCAAUAAGAAAUACCACUUGUUAAAAAAAAAAAAAAACCAAUACCUGUGCUCUCUUUUUGUGAUAUCGCAUUGCAAUUUUGACACCGUAAUAUCAUAAAACGUCGAGCAAAUGAAUGAAUGUGCACUUCCAAUCAAACAUCCAAUCCUUUGUCAUAUAUCUGCAUGAUAAAAAUGUAAACUACCCACUGUAGGGGCGAUUGGGAGAAACGAAAAAGCAAAAAAGAAAGAAAAAUCACAAGGAAUUAUUAACUUUUGGAUUCACAAGUAAACUUAAAUCAACAACAAAACCAAUACCUCUGAUAUUUUUCGUGUUUGAAAACAAAGCAUAAACCCUAAACAAUUAUUCCCCUCACCAUAGCCUUGUUGUUUUGGUAUAUGUUUACACUGAGAAGGAAAGGAAAGAGCAUCAUGAUAAAUUUAGUCCCAAUUUAAUCCCAAUAUACUGGGAACGAUUAUAAUAGUACAGAUUAAAUAAACGCACAAUCAAAGAAAAUCAAAGGUUAUUUUUGGAUAGAAAAAAUAAAAAAUAAAAAAUUAACAGGAAUUAGAAAAAUUAACAUACUCUUUACCCUAAACUGGAGUAAAAAUCGUCCACCGAUAAAUGAUUUCAAUAGUCUAUCAUCCUUUUCGACCACAAAAUUUUCCAGAGCUUCAAUUAACUUUGUAGUCUGAAUUCAUUUUGUUAAAUAUUUUCAUCCUGGAAAGAAAAAAUUAAACAGAGCAACAUUCCCAAAUUAAAGACACAAAAAAAGAACCCAAAUUAAAAUCUUGGGUUAAAACCCUAGUUCUUGAAAUUGGGUACCUGGAGAACAUGGCAAUGAAGGUGACGGCGGAGGCGGAGAAUGGCAGAAACUAAGAACGGCAAAAAAGAGAAUCGAAAAGCACAGAAAAAGCGGAGAAGAAGUCGAACUGCAGCGAUGAUGAUGGACGCAUGGGCUAGGAGGUAUAUUCUAAAUGAAUGGCAUAGUCGUAAUCAAAGUGAAAUCAACCCAAAAUUACUGUAGUUGAUAAAUUUUAACAACUUUCUGGAAAAUAUAUUCAGGCAUCAAAAUUUUCAAAUUUUCCAAAAAGUUGAUAAGAUUUAUGUUUGGUAGGAAGAUAAACCAGAAGCCUAUGUGAAACAGUAAAAGUAAUAGAUACGCAUUGAAAAGCCGAUUGAAUCCAAUCAAAAGAGAGAAGCUUACCCGCAAUCUGCUUCAAUGCAAUGUACCGACUCCCAGCCAUCACCAGUCUCCAGGAACUUAUACAAAAUAACAACUUUGGUCAGAGUUCAGAAAAAGUGAUAGGAAUAAAAAGCUCAGUUCUGUUUUUAAAAUGUUUAGAAAGAAUAAAAGAGUACCUUUAGAAGAAUGACUGAUUUGAGUUGAAUAAUGUAAUAAUCAGCUACCCCAUCACCACCAUUCUAAGUAAAUUACAGAUUUAAACAUAAUAUGUCAGAACUUGCGCAUAAUUUAAACUAAUUGACUACAACAAAUGGUACUUUAAAAAAAGUUACAAAUACGCAUGUAUGAAUAUGAAGAACACUUCAAACUUAGAGAUGAAUUGUCUUCUUUUUUUUCUUUUUGAACUACAAAUUAACAAGUAAUUCAGUUUAAUAAAAAGUAAGAGAGGAAAAUAGAAUAAAUUGUGCGUAAUUCAUUUAAGAAUGGGAAAAAGGGAAAAAACAUACCAAUAUUUGGAAUAUGAGAAAUCUUGUGCCAUUCCGGGCCGCUCUCCUCGUUGCAUCUCUCUUUUAGAACGGAACAAUUACAAAUGUCUAUUGUUUUUAAUUUGGUGAGGCAUUUCAUAGCUUCAGCUGUAGGAAAAUAGUUCAGAUUCAUGCAUCUGUCUAUACAUAGGGACUGAAGAGAUGCAAAGUUCCCCAACCACUCGGGAGAUAAGAAAAGGUUUAGCUUCUAUCUGAUUUCAAUUAUACAAUUGACCGCUGUGGUUGAAUAUAAUCAUAUUAUCAUUAAAUCCCAAUAAAAACAAUAACUCUGAGAACUAAAGUUUUGAAGAAAAGGGGUUGUAUCACUGUCCAUCAAGUUUACAAAUCAAGGAAAUAAACAAUUUACAAUUUAACACAAUGGGUUUUAUUUAUUACUGAUUAAUAGAACUCUACCAAAUUCAUACUCAUAUAUAAUCAGAAUUUGGCCUUAAAGAGUCAUAAAUUCAAUAACACAUUAAUCGAAAUUCAGUUCCAAAAAUAAAAAUAGUUUAGAGAAUUGAAGAAUAGAAGAAAAGGUGUUGUACUUGUGUUCAUGAAACUGGUGUAGGAGAGAGAGAUUAUCAGUCACUGCCUUCUCUGCAAAACUCAGAAACCUUCCCAGCUGGAGCCAUGGCUCUCGAACUUAACCCUCAAGCCUUUGGCCGGUACUGCUCUGCAAAAACAAAAGCAGGAAAAUUUAAUAAUUUCAAAUUUGGUCAUAACCCACCAAAUUAAUUUACAAUCACAAACAAAAAAACAAAGGAAGAAAAUAAUGAGUUAAGUGGGACAAACAACAAAGAAGGGAGAAUCCACUUUACCAGCGAGGUCCAGGCGUCGGAGAUGUUCCUGGGUUUGAAGGUUUGUAGUUCAUCUCCUCAGCAAUUUCGUACCAUUGAUACACCUGAGUAUUGAGAGAGCUUCAGAUAAUACUAUUCCAUUCCACAUGUAAUUAUAAACUACAAUCAUAUAAUUUCUCAGAAUAAAAAUCAAUGCGACUAAAAACAAGGGGGCCCCAAAACAAAUGGUAUAUAUCAACUUUGAUGAUUUCUCUUAUUUUCCCUCUCUUUCUCAGCAACCAAACAGCAAUCGAAAAUUACCAAAAACUGAAAAAAUUGAAGUACCUGGGCCAGUUGCAUUGCCUGGUUGCCAUCUCCACUUGGUGAAAAAAAAUUAAGGGCGGGCAUUUUCGGGGCACCUAAACCCAUCAUCCACAAACCACAAUGUAAGUUAAAAAAUCAACAAAAUAAUUUGAUUGCAUUAAUCCGUUGAAAAAAAAUAUGCUAGAGUGCAGCAGCCCAACCCGCCUGUUUUGCAGAUAUGAGAUGGAGAGAGAUGAGAGGAAUUAAUGCAAAACCCAGCCCAACACACGUGAGAGCUGCUCCCAGGCCCAAAUGCAGCAGCCGAACCCGCCUGUUUUGGGUGAAGCACAGCCCACACACACGAUGGCACAACCGUAAUUAAUGCAAAUUCGUAUCCCAAUUUCAUAAGCAAUAUCAAUACUUCAGUUUCAAUCCCAACUUUAGAAUUAAGUAAUAUGCAUCUGGAUAAAUCUAAUCAAAAGAGAGAAGCUUACCAUGAAUCUGGUCCGAUGCAACUUCAGACAAUUGGGAAUUGCCGUUACUCACCAUUAGCCCCAACCCAAUAUGCCCUCCGAACUCUGAAGGGACAUAUAAAAAAUAACAACUUUGUUGAAUGCCAGAGUUCACAAAAAAUGUUAAGAAAGAUCACUUCUUUUCUUAGAAGGUUUAGGAAGAAAAAAAGUGACUAACUUGAGUUGAAUAAUUUAACAAUCUAACUCAUGUAGAGAUACUUUAUAAGAUUACUGAAUUGGGUUCACAUUACUUAGUAAACUAUAGAUUUAAACAUAAUAUGUAAGCACUUGCUCAUAGUUUCUAAAAAUUGACUAUAACAAACGGUACCUUGAAAAAUGUUACAAAUACGCAUGUCGGAAUAUGAAGAACACUUCAAAACUUAAACACGAAUUUUUGCUCAAAAGGAGGCGGCUAGAGCCUAUAAACACUUAUAAAGAAGAUAUUCCAUAAAGUUUCCAUGUUGAGCUAUGAUCAAGGUAGAGUUAGACUCAUAUCAGGAUCACUACAGGUUCUGGGAAGAAAGCAUGCAUAACUUCUCCUACAAUUACCUAAGCAUCCUAUUAAUAUAUGUGACAUGUU
RNAcentral lists this long non-coding RNA (4694 nucleotides) under Malus domestica (apple). RNAcentral describes it as "long non-coding RNA (MDOM_LNC011431)". Lineage: Eukaryota; Viridiplantae; Streptophyta; Magnoliopsida; Rosales; Rosaceae. The record is from RNAcentral.